GGGCGGUUGGCACAGGGGUAGCGCGCGUCCUUCACACGGACGAGGUCACAAGUUCGAAACUUGUACCGCCCACCA
RNAcentral lists this transfer RNA (75 nucleotides) under Sheuella sp. RNAcentral describes it as "tRNA-Val". It matches the Rfam family "tRNA". Rfam says of the family: Transfer RNA (tRNA) molecules are approximately 80 nucleotides in length. The record is from RNAcentral. Lineage: Bacteria; Pseudomonadati; Pseudomonadota; Betaproteobacteria; Burkholderiales; Alcaligenaceae.